Fundulus heteroclitus (mummichog) is the source of this 679-nucleotide long non-coding RNA. RefSeq lists it as uncharacterized. The record is from RefSeq and is a predicted model, not a curated record. The transcript is spliced from 3 exons. Lineage: Eukaryota; Metazoa; Chordata; Actinopteri; Cyprinodontiformes; Fundulidae.
AGGCAGAUGCCAGGUUGUUGUCCUCACACAUGAGUCUGUUUGAAGAACUCUCCCUAAGACUCUCCACACCACUCCUCUGGCCACCCUCCUGACUCAAAGGCUCAUCUGUAACUUAUUGGUCACUCACCUCCUGGUGCACUCUCCAUCGUCCAAACAUCCAACCUUGAAGAGAAGGACAGAAGGAGACAAUAACUAAUUCAACCAAUCAUCAAUCUGUUGCCAACCUCAGUCUCUGCUGAUGAGUUCACCACCUGUGCACCAUGCCGUCCUGGAUUCUUGAUCUAAAACAAGAAGAAUCAUCUCACUGUGCAGAUUUACUAAUAAACCUUUCAAACUUUCCUUUGGUUUCUGUGAUUACUACCUGCAAGAGAUUUUUAUUUUGUCAGGAACAUGACAUAAGCGGGUCGAGAAGAUGGAUGGAUGGAUGGGUGGAUGGAUGGAUGGAUGGAUGGGUGGCCUUUCUGAAAUAUUACAUAAGACUGAUAAUAUUAAAUAUGACUUAUAAAAAUAAGUCAAGAUAGUCAAAUUUCAAGCCAGAACCAGAAAAAUAAUGCAUUCAAAUUCUGUUGCAUCUUUCUCUAAAGGGUAGGGGUAACAAACCGACCAUGGGAGCGAUGCUGAAGGUCAUUAAUAAUGUAGAUGGUUUUGUGAACACACUGUUAAUGGGUGAUCUCCAGAA